This 991-nucleotide long non-coding RNA is filed under the name Lonchura striata (white-rumped munia). Its description in RNAcentral is "domestica (Bengalese finch) lncRNA (ENSLSDG00000002427.1)". Lineage: Eukaryota; Metazoa; Chordata; Aves; Passeriformes; Estrildidae. The record is from RNAcentral.
UGUGUCACCUUCUAUGGCACCCGGGUGGCACUUGGGUGGCACCUGUGUCACCUCCUGUGGCACCUGUGUCACCUGGGUGGCACCUGUGGCAUCCCCUGUGUCACCUGUGUCGUGUGUGGCACCUCCUGUGGCAUGUGGGUGGCACCUGUGGCACCUCCUGUGUGACGUGUGUCACCUCCUGUGACACCUGGAUCACCUGAGUGGCACUUGGGUGGCACCUGUGUCACCUCCUGUGGCACCUGAGUGGCACAUGGGUGGCACCUGUGCUGUGUGUGUCACCUCCCUGUCCUUCCAGUGCCACCCCCAAUGUCCCCCCAGUGUCCCCUCAGUGUCCCUGUCCCUGCAGUGUCCCUGUCCUUGUCCCCGCAGUGUCCCCAAUGUCCCCUCAGUGUCACUGUCACUGUCCCCAGUGUCCCCUCAGUGUCCCCAAUGUCCCUGUCAUUGUCCCCGCAGUGUCCCCGACUGCCACCUCGUCACCGUGGAUGUCACCGCUGUCCCUGUCCCUGUCCCCUCAGUGUCCCCAAUGUCCCCUCAAUGUCCCCAAUGUCCCCUCCGUGUCCCUGUCAUUGUCCCCACAGUGUCCCCGACUGCCACCUCGUCACUGUGGAUGUCCCCGCAGUGUCCCCAAUGUCCCCUCAGUGUCACUGUCACUGUCCCCAAUGUCCCCAAUGUCCCCUCAAUGUCCCUGUCCCUGUCCCCGCAGUGUCCCCAAUGUCCCUGUCCCUGUCCCCACAGUGUCCCCAAUGUCCCUGUCCCUGCAGUGUCCCCAAUGUCCCCUCAGUGUCCCCAAUGUCCCUGUCAUUGUCCCCGCAGUGUCCCCGACUGCCACCUCGUCACCGUGGAUGUCACCGCUGUCCCCGAGGGUGGCCGCGCCCUCACCGUCACCAGCACCCGCCGCAACCCCGCCGAGCCCGGCCACGUCACGGGCAGCGCCACCCGCCACAGCUUCUGGAGCAGCGUGCUGGGUGUGGCCCUGUCCCCUGUGCCACCC